RNAcentral lists this ribosomal RNA (466 nucleotides) under Vreelandella stevensii. RNAcentral's name for it is "partial 16S ribosomal RNA". It matches the Rfam family "Bacterial small subunit ribosomal RNA", at positions 338 to 795 of the family's 1533-position model. The record is from RNAcentral. Lineage: Bacteria; Pseudomonadati; Pseudomonadota; Gammaproteobacteria; Oceanospirillales; Halomonadaceae.
CCUACGUGGUGCUGCAGUGGGGAAUAUUGGACAAUGGGCGAAAGCCUGAUCCAGCCAUGCCGCGUGUGUGAAGAAGGCCUUCGGGUUGUAAAGCACUUUCAGUGGGGAAGAAAGCCUUGGGGCUAAUACCCUCGAGGAAGGACAUCACCCACAGAAGAAGCACCGGCUAACUCCGUGCCAGCAGCCGCGGUAAUACGGAGGGUGCGAGCGUUAAUCGGAAUUACUGGGCGUAAAGCGCGCGUAGGCGGUCUGAUAAGCCGGUUGUGAAAGCCCCGGGCUCAACCUGGGAACGGCAUCCGGAACUGUCAGGCUAGAGUGCAGGAGAGGAAGGUAGAAUUCCCGGUGUAGCGGUGAAAUGCGUAGAGAUCGGGAGGAAUACCAGUGGCGAAGGCGGCCUUCUGGACUGACACUGACGCUGAGGUGCGAAAGCGUGGGUAGCAAACAGGAUUAGAUACCCCGGGUAGUC